ACAAUUACCGAGCGAUUCAUUUAAUAGGGAUUUCAUAAUCUGAAGCAUCAGUUACUGCAUCAGUCAGUACAUACCAGGAAAAAACAUAAGAACAAUACACUUCCUACCAAAACAUAUGUAUCCUCUAAAAUCAGAAUUGACAUGGACAAACAAAGGAAUUGUUAACAAACAACACUUGGACGAAGCAAAUCAUUCUAAGCCUACAAUUGAUAAGGUGGCUGAGAACACAUAUGCCUGCCACGCAACUCUGUACCGGCCAGCUGCUGAGUAAUGUAUUUAAAUAGGGAUCUCACAAUCUGCAACGAUAGUUAGGAAAGAUUUCAUAAAGAAGCAAGGGUAUUACUAAUGGCAGGGGGCAAGCAUUAUUGGCUUCUUGGCAGUCGCUUAAUAUGUCAAUCUUUUGAUCGUCAUCUUCAACCUCCUUACAGUCUGGACAUCUUCUCCUUUAAAUCACUUGAAUGGUCUUCAAAUAGCAUUGCCCACGAAGAUAUGCAUCACUACCGCAAGCCACGCCGAUGCAUACACCACAAGAAGGAGCAGCACCACAAUCUCGUCCAUCUCUGCGAUGUCGCGGUUGUGCCUGUCCUGCGAAGCGCCGAGGAGUGACGGCGAGCUAGGUUAGGAUCGGCAGUGGCACGAGCACUGCGACAGUAAGAGAAAUAGGGAAGGACAAGUGCACGAAAGAGGCGGGUCAAAGCAGCGAGGACGUACCUUGAGGACGAUGCUACCCGACCUCCUCCUCCUUGAUGACGAGGAAGCACCAAGGGCAGCUUGAUGCUUGCCGGUGGCCUCCCUGAUGAAUUGGAGCCGAGCACUACGGGGUCAAAGGUGCAUCACCUCAUGCUUCUCCCGCUGAGCACCGAGGAGAGGGAGGCCAGCUUGGGAGCGAAAGAGGCAGAAGUUGAAUACAUGUAAGCAAUCAACCAAGAAAUGAGAUGCUAUAUGUGAAUAAUAUACAAAUGAGGAGAUGCUAUAUAAAUGACCUGCAGCGCGCCUUGCCCUGCGGUGCUGGAGCAGACUGUUGUGCCUAAGCAUGUGUGCCAGCCAGGCAGAAGCAUUUAUCCUGAUUAAUAACAAUAGUAGUUGAGCUGCUAUUGCGCCGCCAAGUUCUGUUUGCACACAGUAGAAGGGAACCAGAAAUAUUAUAUAAGCCUUGCUCGUUUUUGUAAGGCGUGGAACAAAGAAACGCUCCAGGCCUUCGUAUCAAUAUAGAGAAGCUGAGCCUAGGUGUAUAAAUUACGAACGUUUGUUCUGCUACAUCAAAAAUAGAAGGAUCAGUAUGCUCAUGUACUUGGAAUUGUAAAGACAAAUUUAAAAGUAUCUGCUGCUGAUAAAAAAAUUAUAACAAGAUUUGGUGAAAUGUCAGUAGGCUCUUAGGAUCAGGGCAGCAGUCUUCGCCGUCUAAAAGUCUCUUGUUUGUAAUUACACAAAAAUGGAGUUUCAUUUGUUUGUAAUUACACAAAAAUGGAGUUUCAUUUGUUUGUAAUUACACAAAAAUGCAGUUUCCUUUGUUUUUUCCACAUACACAAAAAUGGAGUCUCCUUUGUUUUUCUACAUAAACAAAAAUGGAGUUUGCUAAUGCAAUCACAUGUAGCAGAGUUGUUCAAUCAAUGGACAGGGGGGAAUGAUAUAUACACUAACCACCACAAAGUCGUGUAACAAAAAACAGAGGAAAAACUGAAGGAAGAGCAAACAUGGCCAACUUCACAGGAGAGGUAGACAUGCCUUUGCCGGGAGAGGAGCAGGGUAGCGGUCAUCGCCGUCACCGGCAGGAGGUGUCUCUAGUGAGAAAAGACAUGGAAGCAAGCUGGAGAUUCACGACUCAGCCACAAUGAACUCCAUUAAAAUCCUUUGAAGCAUUCAAUUGCCACAACAGACCUAGAGGAAAUAGCCCAAUUAGCUCACCCGCUCACCAAAAAUAAGAAAUGGAGGGAAAGAGAUCCAAGGACACAAACCUACACUACAAUGGGUGAGUGGAUAAGAAGCAUAAACAUGUAGCAAUACAAUAAGCCUCUGAAGGAGACAUGGCGGCUCAGCGGUGACGGCAAGAGAGAUGGGCCGCUGGCUAGCCUCCUCUUCAGUCUCAGCAUAGUACCUACAAAGAAAUGUACCCCUUUAGAAAUACCGAACCAUUACAAAUGCAGCCUCCCAUAAAAAUAUAACCCUCUUCUGAUAAUAACAAAAAUUCUAGUAAAUACAUAUUUCAUUAGCAAGAGAACGGGCAACCUCUUUGUUUGUUGAUAGCUUAGCAGGCUCCAAAAGCAGGGAAAACUCUUGUUGGUUGAUAGCUUGUAAGUCACUAAAGGUAGCUUGAGGUCCCCACACAAAAAUUAAGUCCUCUGAGAUCACAUAAGAUACAUAAUAUAAAUUUCAAAUAUUUACAAAUAAAGUCGCAGUUUGGUUUGGUCUGUUCCCUUGAAAGAAAAUUGUAAUGCCCAUCUCAGCAUUAGUAAUACAAAUCCAUCUUUCAACAAUUAAGUACAAAAUAAUAUAUUCAACUAUCUGAGCAUAGUUCUCAGGAAGAAUACUUGUUGUGUGGAAUGGAUCAGUGAGUAAGAAACAGAACAAAUAAUAUUAAGAUAACUAUGAUGCAUCUCAAUUCAGAUGGGUCACUGACCAAAGGGUUAUAAGCAUUGCAAUAUUAUAUACUGACCAAAUUAGUAUUGCUCAGUAUAAACGUAAGGCCUCUUGUUUAGGACAAAGGAUAGAUAUUUGAUAUAUCACAGGAAAUGUAGCAUGAUAUAAUAGUAUCAGGAGUACAUAGAUUUCACAGAGGUCUAUUUUUAAAAUGGCCACAACUGCAAAAUUCCCUCUCGAGAUCCCCAAUGCUUCUGGUCACAGGGCAGCGGCCGCGGCUCCGGAAAGAAAAUAAAUAAAUUCCUGCACUUCAAGAAAGCAAAGAAAUCAAAAAUCAGUUUUUGCAAUGGUUUCUGCGCUAAUUCAGUUUGUGCGCUAAAACAGAGUGUAUCUAAAUAUUCAGUAUCUAAACUAAAGAAUAUUUGUGGAAUAGCUGAACUUCUAAACUUACACGUAGAUCAACGGUAAAUGUUCAGUCUUUUCAGUUCCUGUUCUAAUUCAUUUUCUGCACUAAAACAGAGUAUAUGUAAAGGUCCGGUAUCUGAACUAUCGAAGGUUUGUGGAACAUCUGAAUUUUUAAACUUAAACUGAGAUCAAAAGUAAAGGUUCAGUCUUUUCAGUUUCUGUACUAAUUCAGUUUGCGUGCUAAAAUUCAUUUUCUGCACUAAAACAGAGUACAUCUAAAGAUUCAGUUUCUGAACUAUAGAAGGUUUGUGGAACAGUUGAUUUUUUUAACUUAAACAGAGACCAAAAGUAAGGGUUCAAUCUUUUCAGUUAAACAACGAUCAAAUAUACAAUCCUUUCAGUUCAAUAGAGAUAAAAUGUUCAGUUUUGGCUAACAUACUGAUCACAUGUACUCAAUUAUUUCCCUAAGACAGAUUCAUAUGAGUUCUUCUACAUGAACAGAGCACAUGUUCAGAUCAACACAAACAGGAACAAAACCCUAGGCAUGCUUAAAAAAUAAGCCUCGAUACCAUAAUUUAACAUCAUUCCAUUGUCAUAUACAUGAAAGCCACAACAGAGCUGACGCAAUCGACCUUGAUCAUAGAUGGGAAAGACCCUACUGAUUAAAGCAUUGCGCUAAUACAAACACCUACAUUUCACUUACAUAUGUAAUUCACAGCUUGUAGACACACAACUUGUAGACACGUAUAGAAAAGAGAUCAGGCUAAUCAGGAGGAAGAGAGAAGUGUGGGUACCUGCAAGAAAGCUUACUGGCAUGACUCAUAUCAGAAAUCCUCCUCUGAACUCAUGAAGAACCAAUAGCAUUGCGAACCAUCGCUUAUCCCAGAAUAACAAAGUGCAACUUACUCUUAACCAGAUUAGAUCAAGGACCAACAACAAACAAUAAAAGAUCAAGAACAACGUAUAUGCAACAAAGGUAUGAGAGAGAAGAAAUAUUUACAUAAGACGACUAUAAACACUGGAGCAUAAAUAAGCAACACCUUUAAAUACAAAUAAAAAGGGUUCGGGGUUCCAUGCAUAGUGGGCUCAGAUUCGCCUUUCCUCGAUCGUAUAAUCUACCCCCAUCAUCUCCUAUCGCCAGAUCAAUCUGUUUAUACAGUGGAGCUGCCCUGGUUAUCACUCAACAAGAAUGACCAUCCAAGGACAGAACAAUAAGUAUCACAGGAUCAAAAAGGAUUCUAGAGACAAGGAAGGAUCCAACUUGAUACCCACAGGUGCCUCGAUUGCUCAAAGGCACACUUAUUUCAGCCAUGGCUAAUCAUCAUCGCCCUAGCAAGAAUGGCUUCCGACCGACGGGGCACGUGAUUCAAACGCGGUGGCACGAGAUAUCUCACCGCGGGAGUAACUAUUCAUUGCUAUAGGAGCUCGGGCUCGAUCCAACGGCCGAGAUCAAUCCGGAUCGAGAUCCGACGGCCAGAAUCGCAUCAGGAAAUCGAUCCGACGGCCAAAAGUGCCUGAGAUCCGAGGAGCCAUCCGAGGAGCCAGGGAACUUGUCGCGGGUCUUAUUUCUGGAUGGAUCACCAGAUCAAUAUGUUCUUACGAGGGUGAAACUGCCUUGGUUAUCACUCAUCAGAAAUGACCAUCCAAGGACAGAGUCACUAAAAUGAGAACAUGAUCAAAACAGUUCAAAGAAACGACGGAGGAUCCAAAUUAAUACCCACAAGUGCCUCGAUUACUCGAGAGCAUGCCUAUAUCAUCCAUAACUAAUCAUCAUAGCCUGGCCAUGUCCCAUACAAUAGCCUAAGCAGAGCAGGGGAAGAUGGAGCUCACCGAGGGAGGUUGUAGCCAAGGCAGUACUCAGUGGGCACCGGGGUUUCGCCUGAACGCCGUCCAACCGGUGAGGAACCACGUCUGAGUUGCGCCUUGCACCAUCCCACCGACGAGCAUGAAUGCCAAUGGCACCAAAGCGGCCAAGGAUNNNNNNNNNNNNNNNNNNNNNNNNNNNNNNNNNNNNNNNNNNNNNNNNNNNNNNNNNNNNNNNNNNNNNNNNNNNNNNNNNNNNNNNNNNNNNNNNNNNNNNNNNNNNNNNNNNNNNNNNNNNNNNNNNNNNNNNNNNNNNNNNNNNNNNNNNNNNNNNNNNNNNNNNNNNNNNNNNNNNNNNNNNNNNNNNNNNNNNNNNNNNNNNNNNNNNNNNNNNNNNNNNNNNNNNNNNNNNNNNNNNNNNNNNNNNNNNNNNNNNNNNNNNNNNNNNNNNNNNNNNNNNNNNNNNNNNNNNNNNNNNNNNNNNNNNNNNNNNNNNNNNNGAGGAGAGACAGAGAGAAGGGAACGAAGGGGGCGAACGAGAAGCGAGCCAGCCGCCCUCCCCCACCACAUAGCCGCACGGAGCCAACCACCGUCCACCACGCACGCGGCCUGGACAGGAAAUGACGAAAAAGCCCUCGGCGGGGGGCAAGAUUUACGUGCGGUGGCACGAGAUAUUUACCGCAGGCGCGCGCACGACUGAACGCACCGGCUGCACCCGCACACCCGCUCGCUGACGGGCGCGGCCCACCCGCCGGGACCCCCCAGGUCAGCGACAACCGGUCAAACGGAAGGAGUAAUCGACGGGGCAAGCCAAACGGGAUCAACCAUGCUACAGGGGAGGGGGAUUCGAUCCGACAGCCGACGUCCUUCCACCGCUCGAUCGGACGCCCAGAAACCCAUCAAGCAAAUUGAUCCGAUGGUCAAAAUGCGCUAACCGCUGAGAGCGCCGGUGGCUCCCUUCGUCUCAUAUUUCUGGAUAAAGCAGGGCAAUAAUCCAGUUAUCUUUGAUCAAGACCAAGAAAUGAAUUAGUUGUCCCAGCUAGCCACUAUAAUUCUGCAACCAACAGACCAUUGUUUCCGGAAUGUAGCAGCAAUCAUGUAAACAAAGUGGGACUAAAUAUGGUAUUGCAGAACAACGAACUAUCCGUAGGUACACAACAACCUAAAAAUGGCAUCCAGCAGGGCAACCUAAAAAUGUAACUAAGCUCAUGAGCAACCCGUAGCAACAAUAACAGCAGUUCCAACAACAAUAUCCUAGGAUAACAUCAUACAAAAGAAAAAAGAUCGAGCGUGCGUGCGUAUAGGAAGGCAUGAAGGAAGCGACAAGAAUAGAGUAGCACCUGAGCUGGUACCAGCCACCAACAGCCAAGAUCAUGAGACAACCACAAGCAACAACAACAGCAGUCCCGGAUGUGUAAACAGAUUGCAGAACAAUACCAAAAGUGCAUCUGAAAAAUGGAUUAGAGAUUUUAACAAUACGGACAUGCAGUUCCCAAUAAAUUAAGCUCCUGUAGCAGGUGAUGGUGCCGGUCAACAUUGUUCACAAAUACAGAUAUGAAAAACGAAGAAAUAAAUUAAGGCAUAACACUAAACUAUGACAUUCCCAUUCAGCAUUCUAUUAUACUGUUAAGAAUGCCAUUGGUCUGCUUGGCCUAGCAUGGCGAAAACAUCUGAACUGCUAUAGAUUCAGAGAUAUGUGCAAAAAAUAAAUAUCAAAGGAAGCCUCAUGAACUGUUUGUAAGCCUGCAAUUGUAGGCUUUACUCUUAUAAUUAUUAAAUUGCCUAGAAUACAAAAUAAAAUGUUGAAUCAUCUGAUGUACAAAGCUAAAGACAAGUAUCAAAGGAGGUAUAAUCAGUAUGCAGUAUUAUCACGGUGCUAGAUACUACUAUUCCAAAACACCAAAACAUACAAAAUACACCUAGAGGAAUUCUACCUGAAUUAGUAUCACCCAGGUGGAACACACCUAGAAGCUGAAUCUUUUGAGUUUUUAUUUACCUUGAGCUAUCUCCUCUUGUUGUAGUUGGGGCAUGAAGAGUUUAUCCUUCAAAAAAAAUGAACAUGUCUCCUGCAAUGAGAUAGCCUUUUUCAUUAACCUAUGAUUUCCAUAAAGAGCAUAUAGUUAAGAAUGCAGGGUGGCACAACAGAAGGAAAUGAAGAACCUGUAAUAUAAUGAUGAUGGCAGCCACAACCAACAAUGUGAGUAAGAUGGAUAGCAAACUUAAUAAACGGGGCAGCGGCCUAUGCAGCCAAUGCAAAACCUGUGUCGAAGUUGGGUUCAUAUAUAUCCUCCUAAUCCUAAGCACAUAAAGAUGUUAUUUGAACAAUGGCUGACAGAUUGCUCAAAGUUCAAGUGCAUUGUUCAGCAUCAGCUCUCAAUAAUUUGUGCUUAAUCCUGUACCAAUUAUAUACCUUGUGGAUUUACAUACUUGAGGAUACACCAAAUCCAUAAAUGAAACAAGAGUGCAUAAAAAAGAGCAUAUAUAAGUGAAGAAGAAUGUAACCUUGUAACUAUAUUUGAGGUAAAUUUGAGCAGUUCCACUAAUCUUCAUAGGCAAAGUAUACAUCCAAUGCCUAAUUAGCACUCCCACUUCCCAUACAUAAUCAGGAGCAAGGCCAAGGAUUGAUGCCCAAAUCCCUCUAUCAAAAAAGGAUGCUCUGCGCUAGCUCCAUGAAUAAAUGAGUACUCGUCCAUGCCAUUUUAACCUGUCACACACCAACAAUAUGGAAGAUAAAACAUUUAGCUUUCGGAAAAUGGAUUGUUACAUGGGUGAAAUUAAUUACUAACAACUACAACCAUGUUAUAUUUAUUAUCAUGUUCAAGGUAAGUAACUUAGCGAGCCAGUGCCAAACCUUUCCCUUCCCUUGUCACCCCUGAUAAGGACAAAUCAGGCAGCAGGCAAAAAAAAGGUAACAAAAACAUAGGAAUCUAGGCAGACCACGACAACCUCCUACACAACAACAACAAUAUCCGAGCACCUAAUGCAUCCCAGCACCAGACAAAUUAAGAAAGGCAACAAAAAUCUACCCCGGAUACAGGCACGAGGCCUAGUCUCCUGCAAAGCAACAACAAAUACCAGGGAUCCAAACAGAACCGAGCACCUAAUCUAUCCAAAGGAAUCCGAUCAGAACCAGGAUCGAGCAACCAAUGCAUCCAAGAAAAAGAUUCGGGCAGUCAACACAUCCAAAAAGCUACAGGAGCUGCACAUAACAACUAAUAGCUCUGCUAGACAGGAAGGAAAAGGAAGAGCUCGCCAACCACGAACCUUGCAACAUCUCGACACGGCAACGAACAGCAGGCUGGCCGAAGCUUCGACAAACGGAACAAACAACAACUAGAGAGGACCUGCAAUGAUA
This 8140-nucleotide long non-coding RNA is filed under the name Triticum aestivum (bread wheat). Its description in RNAcentral is "long non-coding RNA (TAES_LNC014862)". The record is from RNAcentral. Lineage: Eukaryota; Viridiplantae; Streptophyta; Magnoliopsida; Poales; Poaceae.